AUCACUUUCUCCAUCUCUGCCCCCCCCCCGGAUCUCCUGCACCGUCUCCAUUGCUUUCUGAUUCUUUCUCCAUUUCCUCUCUUCAGGUUCCCAUCUUACAUUUUUUUUAAAUUUAUUUUCUUUUAAUUUGUUCUCCCGACUCCUCCACCUUUCCUCCACCCGUCCUCUUUUCUCGCGCCUGCUUUUCUAAUCCCCUUGUUGCCCCUCGGUUAAGACCCCCGUUGUAUCACUCUGCUCUAUCAGGUCCGCUCGCGCUUUGGGCUUUUUUUUUUUUUUUUUUUUUGUGCCACUAACGAGUUCUUUGCCUUUUUCUUCUUCUGUUUUUUUUUGUGCGUCUUUCAUCUCUUGAUCUCUUUCCGCUCAAGUGUUCACAGAAACGGGGGAGGGGGAGGGGGGGUCGGUUGAUCACGGGUCUCUGGGGAGCGGCGGCGGAAUCGGUGUGACGAAGUGUGAUGAGAGCCGCUGCGCCUCGCCGGCUCCGGCUGACGUCCUUCUGAAGGUCACUCAGCGGAGAACUUGUAUCAGGAGGACUUGGUCAACAUGUAGAUGUGUGAUUUGCACGCUUCUCAGGGACUCAAAGCCAAAGGUCGUUUAAACUCUAUCAAAGCGUAGAAAGUAUAAGCGGCUGAAGGGAUGCGGCCCGUUAAAAGAAGUGAGUCAACAGACCUUCUGCUUCUCCCGGCGCGUAGUCUUGAUUAUGAGCCGGUCGGAAUCUGGAGGACACAUUUCCCAGGUCAAAGGUCACUGCCCCCCCCCUUCAGUAUCUCAAACGAACGGUCGGUGCGACACCUUCGUCACACUGACGGAAGAGAAGAGAAGGUCGUCGUGAGAAGCAUCGCUCUCCGGCCGGUGAG
This is a long non-coding RNA of Gasterosteus aculeatus aculeatus (three-spined stickleback), 854 nucleotides long. Lineage: Eukaryota; Metazoa; Chordata; Actinopteri; Perciformes; Gasterosteidae. The record is from Ensembl.